RNAcentral lists this transfer-messenger RNA (358 nucleotides) under Lentisphaeria bacterium. It matches the Rfam family "transfer-messenger RNA". Rfam says of the family: Bacterial tmRNA, also known as 10Sa RNA or SsrA, is named for its dual tRNA and mRNA-like properties. Its role is to liberate the mRNA from a stalled ribosome. To accomplish this part of the tmRNA is used as a reading frame that ends in a translation stop signal. The record is from RNAcentral. Lineage: Bacteria; Pseudomonadati; Lentisphaerota; Lentisphaeria.
GGGGGUGUUCCGGAUUCGACCGGCGCUGGACUUGGGUUGAUUGCAUGCCGAGGAUGACCGUUGGCCUCGUAAAUCACCGGUUAAAACAAUAACUGCGAACGAAGAGUUUGCUCUGGCGGCAUAAUCCCGCCACGUCGCUGUGCCUGAUUGGGUACUAAGGUAUAAGCGGCGCGUGUUAAUACCCUGGCUGAAAUUCCCGGCAUUCGGAGUUUCGGCGAGAUCAAAGAAUGUCUGUUCUGAGGGAUCGCCUGUCCAUUGGCGAAACAGAGGACGAAAAACAAUUGAAGAUGGAACAAGCAUGUAGAGAUCUUCACAGCUCCCCGUUGGGACGCGGGUUCAACUCCCGCCACCUCCACCA